CCUACGGGAGGCAGCAGUGGGGAAUAUUGGACAAUGGGCGCAAGCCUGAUCCAGCAAUGCCGCGUGAGUGAUGAAGGCCUUCGGGUCGUAAAGCUCUUUUACCCGGGAUGAUAAUGACAGUACCGGGAGAAUAAGCUCCGGCUAACUCCGUGCCAGCAGCCGCGGUAAUACGGAGGGAGCUAGCGUUGUUCGGAAUUACUGGGCGUAAAGCGCACGUAGGCGGUUAUUCAAGUCAGAGGUGAAAGCCCGGGGCUCAACCCCGGAACUGCCUUUGAAACUAGAUGACUAGAAUCUUGGAGAGGUCAGUGGAAUUCCGAGUGUAGAGGUGAAAUUCGUAGAUAUUCGGAAGAACACCAGUGGCGAAGGCGACUGACUGGACAAGUAUUGACGCUGAGGUGCGAAAGCGUGGGGAGCAAACAGGAUUAGAUACCCGUGGUAGUCCACGCCGUAAACGAUGAUAACUAGCUGUCCGGGUACUUGGUAUUUGGGUGGCGCAGCUAACGCAUUAAGUUAUCCGCCUGGGGAGUACGGUCGCAGAUUAAAACUCAAAUGAAUUGAACGG
RNAcentral lists this ribosomal RNA (562 nucleotides) under uncultured bacterium. RNAcentral's name for it is "bacterial SSU rRNA". It matches the Rfam family "Bacterial small subunit ribosomal RNA", at positions 338 to 917 of the family's 1533-position model. The record is from RNAcentral.